UAAAAACCACAUGUCCGAUUUG
Molecule: microRNA, 22 nt
Filed under: Triops cancriformis
Lineage: Eukaryota; Metazoa; Arthropoda; Branchiopoda; Notostraca; Triopsidae
Description: tcf-miR-10333
Source: miRBase by way of RNAcentral